RNAcentral lists this transfer RNA (65 nucleotides) under Rasbora pauciperforata (red-stripped rasbora). RNAcentral's name for it is "tRNA-Cys". It matches the Rfam family "tRNA". From Rfam's summary of the family: Transfer RNA (tRNA) molecules are approximately 80 nucleotides in length. Their secondary structure includes four short double-helical elements and three loops (D, anti-codon, and T loops). Further hydrogen bonds mediate the characteristic L-shaped molecular structure. tRNAs have two regions of fundamental functional importance: the anti-codon, which is responsible for specific mRNA codon recognition, and the 3' end, to which the tRNAs corresponding amino acid is attached (by aminoacyl-tRNA synthetases). tRNAs cope with the degeneracy of the genetic code in two manners: having more than one tRNA (with a specific anti-codon) for a particular amino acid; and 'wobble' base-pairing, i.e. permitting non-standard base-pairing at the 3rd anti-codon position. The record is from RNAcentral. Lineage: Eukaryota; Metazoa; Chordata; Actinopteri; Cypriniformes; Danionidae.
GGCCUUGUGGUGUGUUCACAUUAGACUGCAAAUCUAAAGGUGCAGAUUACCGUCUGCCUGGGCUU